GAUGAAGAACGUAGCGAAAUGCGAUAAGUAAUGUGAAUUGCAGAAUUCAGUGAAUCAUCGAAUCUUUGAACGCACAUUGCGCCCGUCAGUAUUCUGGCGGGCAUGCCUGUUCGAGCGUCAUUACGCCCCUCAAGUCCCCUGUGGACUUGGUGUUGGGGAUCGGCGAGGCUGGUUUUCCAGCACAGCCGUCCCUUAAAUUAAUUGGCGGUCUCGCCGUGGCCCUCCUCUGCGCAGUAGUAAAACACUCGCAACAGGAGCCCGGCGCGGUCCACUGCCGUAAAACCCCCCAACUUUUUAUAGUUGACCUCGAAUCAGGUAGGACUACCGCUGAACUUAAGCAUAUCAAUAAGCGGAGGA
This 357-nucleotide unclassified non-coding RNA is filed under the name soil metagenome. RNAcentral describes it as "partial contains 5.8S ribosomal RNA, internal transcribed spacer 2, and large subunit ribosomal RNA". The stretch from base 1 to 120 matches the Rfam family "5.8S ribosomal RNA", at positions 35 to 154 of the family's 154-position model. The record is from RNAcentral.